RNAcentral lists this long non-coding RNA (722 nucleotides) under Salmo salar (Atlantic salmon). RNAcentral describes it as "lncRNA (ENSSSAG00000121969.1)". Lineage: Eukaryota; Metazoa; Chordata; Actinopteri; Salmoniformes; Salmonidae. The record is from RNAcentral.
AGAGGUAAAGUUGGGGAGAGAGGACGGAGCGGGAUGAGGUAAAGUUGGGGAGGACGGAGCGGGAGGAGGUAAAGUUGUGGAGAGAGGACGGAGCAGGAAGAGGUAAAGUUGGGGAGAGAGGACGGAGCAGGAAGAGGUAAAGUUGGGGAGAGAGGACGGAGCGGGAGGAGGUAAAGUUGGGGAGAGAGGACGGAGCGGGAUGAGGUAAAGUUGGGGAGAGAGGACGGAGCGGGAGGAGGUAAAGUUGGGGAGAGAGGACGGAGCAGGAAGAGGUAAAGUUGUGGAGAGAGGACGGAGCAGGAAGAGGUAAAGUUGGGGAGGACGGAACAGGAUGGGGUAAAGUUGGGGAGAGAGGACGGAGCAGGAAGAGGUAAAGUUGUGGAGAGAGGACGGAGCAGGAAGAGGUAAAGUUGGGGAGGACGGAACAGGAUGGGGUAAAGUUGGGGAGAGAGGACGGAGCAGGAAGAGGUAAAGUUGUGGAGAGAGGGCGGAGCAGGAAGAGGUAAAGUUGGGGAGAGAGGACGGAGCAGGAAGAGGUAAAGUUGUGGAGAGAGGACGGAGCAGGAAGAGGUAAAUUUGGGGAGAGAGGACGGAGCGGGAAGAGGUAAAGUUGGGGAGAGAGGACGGAGCGGGAAGCGGUAAAGUUGGGGAGAGAGGACGGAGCAGGAAGAGGUAAAGUUGGGGAGAGAGGACGGAGCAGGAAGAGGUAAAGUUGGGGAGAG